UGAAUCGCACAACGUAGAUGGGAAAAAUGGGAAGCUAAGCCUUAGAGCUUAUCCCCAGGUGUUAAGCUGCUUACUAGAAGCCAUUCAGAUGUCUGAAGGAGGACAGCCGGCGGAGAAGGUGCUCCGAAAUGCCAUCGGCUGCGCCAAAAAUACU
Drosophila willistoni is the source of this 154-nucleotide long non-coding RNA. RefSeq lists it as uncharacterized. The transcript is spliced from 2 exons. NCBI's taxonomy places the organism in Eukaryota, Metazoa, Arthropoda, Insecta, Diptera, Drosophilidae. The record is from RefSeq and is a predicted model, not a curated record.